Kogia breviceps (pygmy sperm whale) is the source of this 1553-nucleotide non-coding RNA. The record is from RefSeq and is a predicted model, not a curated record. NCBI's taxonomy places the organism in Eukaryota, Metazoa, Chordata, Mammalia, Artiodactyla, Physeteridae.
UGCGCUGGUUUUACGUUUAGUUCGUUGGGGAUGGGAUCCUAUUUUGAGAGGUCGUGCCUUGACCUUGGUUUGGAAUGUGCUGCGUUCUCUUCCGCCGCACAAAGCACGCGUUGAAAACGGUGUGCGUUAGAAGGAUUGGAGUCACUGCCCUGAUGUGUCUCCCAGUCUGGUCCUUAGAGGCGCAGGGUCUUCUCCGAGCUCCACGUGGGGCCCAGAAUAAGAUACCCUGGGCGCUGAAGUACUGGCUUGGAGCUGAGCCAAUUAUACGCCCUGUCCUCUGAAAAGAACUGCACAAUGGAGAGUUGUGGGUUAAUUGCUAUUUGGGGCAAGAUGUGGGCUAUAGCCUGAGAGAUAGCCCCUCAGCUCCGAGGAACUACUCCGGAGAAGAAAAAGAAGUCAUGAGAUGGAGAAUUUCUUCCACAUCCCACCAGUAAAUGUACAGUCCUUCCUAGAACAGCAUUCAUUCAUCCUCUAUGUCCUAUUAAAGAGAAGGAAGUGGCUUUUCUCCUGCUAAUGAUGUUCUCCCAAGGUGAUCUUAAAUGGUUUAUAAAUUCUCAGAUUUAUACCCGCAUCCCAAAUCAGAGCCAGUUUGUAUAGCGGGAAGACUGAAGACACGGGGAGAAGACAGCAAUCUCCAAGUCAAGAGGCUCAGAAGAGACCAGCCUUGCCGACACCCUGAUCUUAGACAUCUCACCUCCAGAACUGGGAACACAUUAAUUUGUCUGUUAAUCCACCCAGUCUGUGGUCCUUUGUUAUGGUAGCCCUAGCAAACUAAUAGAGAUUUUGGUACCAGGAAUUAGGGCACUGCUCUAACAAACAUCUAAAAUUGUGGAAGUGACUUUAGAACUGGUUAAUGGGUAGAGGCUGGGAGAGUUUUGAAGGGCAUGUUAGAAAAAGGAAUGAAAAGAGAAGAUUUGGAAAUUUCUCAGCCUUUCUAUAUUGCAAAAAAUGAGAACGAGUAUUCUGGAGGGAAUGUCAAGGGUGUGACUGGACACUCACUACGGGGACACAACAGUAAGUUUGAACUGAAAGGUGCAAGAGUCAGAGGACUUAAAUAUAGAUUGAUAGAGGUUACGCAAUCUGAGGCACAGAGUAAAAGAAUGAAGAAAACUGAGCAGGGCCUUACAGAAUUGUGGGACACCAUUAGGCAUACCAGCAUUUGUGUAAUGGAAGUAACUGAAGGAAAGGAGGGAGAGGAGCAGAAAUAUAUUGACUAUAUAGUGGUUGAAGACUUCCCAAACACUCUGAGAAACAUUACGUAUCCAAGAAGCUCAAUAAACUCUUAGCAUGACCGAAAGGAGGUCUACGCCCAGACGCAUCAUGGUCAAAUGCUGAAAGCUGAUGGUAUAUGUCCAAAGGAAUUGAAAGCAGGAAGUCAAACAGAUAUUUGUAUGCCAAUGUUCACUGAAGCAUUAUUCACAAAAACCAAAAGCUGGAAACAACCCAAGUGUCCAUCGACAGAUGAAUGGAUAAACAAAAAGUAGUGUACACCUGCAAAGGUAUUUUAUUCAAUCAUAAAAGGGAAUGAAGAUAUGAUACAUGCCACAGCAUGG